RNAcentral lists this transfer RNA (64 nucleotides) under Boodlea composita. RNAcentral's name for it is "tRNA-Lys". Lineage: Eukaryota; Viridiplantae; Chlorophyta; Ulvophyceae; Cladophorales; Boodleaceae. The record is from RNAcentral.
UUUCUUGUCGUGCAAAAUGCACACAAGAUUUUUUUUUUUGGAUAGUUGGUUUUGCCCCUGAAUA